GAGACUCUGUGCGCGUGCAUAUCAAUAAGCGGAGGAAAAGAAACUAACAAGGAUUCCCUUAGUAACGGCAAGUGAAGCGGGAAGAGCUCAAAUUUGAAAUCUUCAAGGUUCUACCUUGACGAAUUGUAGUUUAUAGAAGUGUUUUCUGUUAGUGGAGUGGCAAAAGUUCUUUGGAAUAGGACAUCAUAGAGGGUGAGAAUCCCGUAUUUGGUCAUUCCUCCUAGCGUUGUGAUACACUUUCAACGAGUCGGAUUGUUUGGGAAUGCAGUCCAAAAUGGGUGGUAAAUUUCAUCUAAAGCUAAAUAUUGGCGAGAGACCGAUAGCGAACAAGUACCGUGAGGGAAAGAUGAAAAGAACUUUGAAAGGAGAGUUAAACAGUACGUGAAAUUGUCAAAAGGGAAGCGUUUGACACCAGUGUUGUUUUUCCGAAAAUCAAUUACGAAUGUUUUGUUUUUGAGGAGUUAUGACUUCAUCGGCUUGCUCCUUUCUUUACGAAACUUUCUUAAUGCACUUUUCGGUUAACAAGUCAACAUCAAUUUCUUUUGUUGUAAAAGGGUAUGAGGAAGGGUGGCUUUCUUUUCGGAGAAAGUGUUUAUAGCCUUGUGCCUCUAGCAAUCGGAGAGAUUGAGGUCUGCAGCGUAGAUCCUUCGGGGUUAGAUACGUUUGUGCUAAGUUAUAGCUUUUCAUAGACAACUUGUUGACUAUGUUUAGUCUUGUAGCUUACUCGCUGACGCUACUUUACCUACGCUUAGGAUGUUGAAGAUGUAGCACAUCAU
This 776-nucleotide ribosomal RNA is filed under the name uncultured Neocallimastigales. RNAcentral describes it as "partial large subunit ribosomal RNA". It matches the Rfam family "Eukaryotic large subunit ribosomal RNA", at positions 23 to 635 of the family's 3401-position model. Lineage: Eukaryota; Fungi; Neocallimastigomycota; Neocallimastigomycetes; Neocallimastigales. The record is from RNAcentral.